AAGUCGUAACAAGGUCUCCGUAGGUGAACCUGCGGAGGGAUCAUUACACAAUAUGAAGGCGGGCUGAAAUCUCUCGAGAGGACAGCCUUGCUGAAUUAUUCACCCGUGUCUUUUGCGUACUUCUUGUUUCCUUGGUGGGCUCGCCCACCACAAGGACAAACCAUAAACCUUUUGUAAUUGCAAUCAGCGUCAGUAACAAAAUAAUAAUUACAACUUUCAACAACGGAUCUCUUGGUUCUG
Molecule: unclassified non-coding RNA, 240 nt
Filed under: Alternaria sp.
Lineage: Eukaryota; Fungi; Ascomycota; Dothideomycetes; Pleosporales; Pleosporaceae
Also listed under: 1 other name
Description: partial internal transcribed spacer region
Rfam family: Eukaryotic small subunit ribosomal RNA (bases 1-46)
Source: RNAcentral